GACGAACGCUGGCGGCGUGCUUAACACAUGCAAGUCGAACGGUGAAGGGACCGGUUUUUGCUGUUUCUGGAUGAGUGGCGAACGGGUGAGUAACACGUGAGUAACCUGCCCCCUUCCUCUGGAUAACCGCAUGAAAGUGUGGCUAAUACGGGAUAUUCUGCGCCUGCUGCAUGGUGGGUGUGGGAAAGACAUUGUUUCGGUGGGGGAUGGGCUGGUGGCGGAUUAGCUUGUUGGUGGGGUGAUGGCCUACCAAGGAGGCGACGGGUGGCCGGCCUGAGAGGAGGGUCGGCGGUCAUGGAGGUGCGGAGAGGCGGAGAAGACUACUGCAGGAGGCAGCAGUGGGUAAUAGUGCACAAUGGGCGGAAUGCUGAUGCAGCGACGCGUCGGGAGGGAUGGCGGCCGGCGUGUUGUAAACCUCUUUCGCGAGUGAAGCAGGCCUGUCCCUUUUGUGGGUGGGUUGACGGUAGCUGGAGAAGAAGCGCCGGCUAACUACGUG
This 496-nucleotide ribosomal RNA is filed under the name uncultured bacterium. Its description in RNAcentral is "partial 16S ribosomal RNA". It matches the Rfam family "Bacterial small subunit ribosomal RNA", at positions 28 to 507 of the family's 1533-position model. The record is from RNAcentral.